This is a long non-coding RNA of Delphinapterus leucas (beluga whale), 723 nucleotides long. RefSeq lists it as uncharacterized. The record is from RefSeq and is a predicted model, not a curated record. Lineage: Eukaryota; Metazoa; Chordata; Mammalia; Artiodactyla; Monodontidae.
GCUGGCCUCCGCGCCCUCUUCCGGAGUUGCCCUUUCCGUCUCCUGCUCUCCCGAGACCUGUAUCUGUGCCUCCGAUCCCCCCCUGAGUUCGGGCCCGCGCUUCUUCGGGCUUCCGCCUCCGAACGGCCGCUCACGCUACGAAGCUCACCUCUGGUCACAGCACCUGCCAAUCAACCUGUGGCCGGACCAGGGCUGCCAUCUUCCCGGCAGACCGUUUCUGCUCUUCCGCCGUACGACCUCUGUCAUUGGCCAGGGCGGCCUCGUUUCAGCUCUAAGUAUACACCGAUUGGUGCACCUAAAGAGUUCCAGGUUCUCCUAGACGCUUCCAAAGCAACGAAAGCCGUUUUCUGUAGUACGAGUUGGCGGUUGCUCCCAGUUGGACUCGGUUCGUAGCCCAGGGCACUUCUCUUGAUUCCUUCCUGCACGGAACUCAUAUUUUAAAUCACUCAUAUUUGCAGAGGGAAUUAGUAUUCAGAAUCUUCAGCUCCCCUUACAGACGAGGAAACAGCCUCGACAAGCACCGAAAACAGUGCCUGCCAUUUGGAAUGCACAAAUGAAUGGGUGACUAGGAUGAACUUCUGAGCUGAGAUCUCAUUGAAGUUAGGAAGUGAGCCAGGAGAUGUCUGUGGAAGAGAAUUCCGGAUAGAGGGAACAGCAAAGGCAAAGCCCGGAAGCAGGCAGCUUGCAGGAUCUUAGUUCCCCAACCAGGGAUUGAACCCCAGC